Small nucleolar RNA from Struthio camelus australis, 68 nucleotides. Its record names the gene SNORD58. It matches the Rfam family "Small nucleolar RNA SNORD58". Rfam says of the family: snoRNA U58 is found in introns 1, 3 and 6 of the ribosomal protein RPL17 gene in humans. U58 is a member of the C/D class of snoRNA which contain C (UGAUGA) and D (CUGA) box motifs. Most of the members of the box C/D family function in directing site-specific 2'-O-methylation of substrate RNAs. NCBI's taxonomy places the organism in Eukaryota, Metazoa, Chordata, Aves, Struthioniformes, Struthionidae. The record is from Ensembl.
UGGCAGUGAUGACUAUCUUAGGACACCUUUGGAGUAACUAUGAAACAAAAAUCUUUCUUCUGAGCCAU